Molecule: long non-coding RNA, 1691 nt
Organism: Halichondria panicea
Lineage: Eukaryota; Metazoa; Porifera; Demospongiae; Suberitida; Halichondriidae
Exons: 3
Source: RefSeq, a predicted model, not a curated record
CGAACCAGGCCCAACGUAAAAUUGGGCCUGGAAGGGAUUGCAUGCGCAUGCAUCAAAAUUCCCAGAAAACUUGGGAAUUUGGAUACUGUUUGUAAAUGUACUAUAGGUCCGUAUAAAAAGUGCUUAGUAGACAAAAAAUAUAAUGGCAGUUUCGAGUCCACCAUCGUUCGAAGAUUUAGUUACUUACGCCCUUGAGUCCUUAGAUAGAGUUACAUUCAAGUUAAGAUCUCAACAGUUAGAAAGCAUUAAGUAUGUAGUGGAAGGUAAUGAUGUGUUUGUGUGGCUGCCUACUGGUUUUGGAAAAUCGAUUAUUUAUGAGAGCUUGCCCUUUGUGUUUGACCGGCUAAAGAAUGUUUCUAAUAGUGUGGUGUUGGUAGUUUCUCCCCUGAUUUUUCGCUAAUGUUGGACCAAACGAAGAGUCUGGCAAAGAGAGGAGUGUGUUGUGCCAUAAUGAGUGAUCGCAGUGUUGUCGAUAAGAGCUUCCUCUUCUCUGAGAAGGACAUUGAUAAAUAUAAAUAGUAUUUACUUCUCCUGAAGCUGUCAUUGGAGUUGAAAGAUGGAGAAGUCUAUUGAGUACACCUACAUUUUCUGACCGUAUAUAGUGACCGUUGCAGUGGAUGAAGCACACUGUGUGUCAAAAUGGAGUUCGACAUUUCGACCUUCAUACGCUCGUCUCAAUGACAUCAGAGCCUUAAUCCCUCCUGGUGUCCCUAUGGUUGCCCUUACUGCUACUGCUACUAGGUCAGUCAAGGCUGAUGUUAUAGCAAAGUUGGAACUUGGUGGAUGCAAGGAAGUGUCAGUUUCUCCAAAUCGUGAUAACAUAUAUUAUAAAGUAAGAAGGAGCAACACUAUUGAGUCUGAUUUUGCCUCCAUUGUCUCAUUACAAAAAACUGCCAAAAUCAAAGCAACUCGAACUAUUGUAUAUUGCCGUACAAAGAACGUGUGUGCUGAUUUAUACCAGUAUUUUCAUAGAACACUUGGAGACGAUAGUUAUUACCCCCCUGAUGCUCCCAAAAUUAGUAUGAAUCGACUGUUUGGUAUGUUCCAUGCUCAAACUACUGAUCACAUCAAGGAUCAUAUAAUAUCAAGUAUGUCGCAAGCUUGUGGUACUGUUCGAGUUGUAUUUGCCACUGUUGCUUUAGGCAUGGGAGUGAACUUUGUGAACUUGAACCAUAUUGUACACUAUGGAGCACCAAGUAGUAUUGACGAUUACUUUCAAGAAAGUGGCCGCUCAGGACGUUCAGGUGAUCAUGCUACAUCUGUUAUCUACUGGAAGCCAAUAGAUGCUCCUUCGAGAAAGGACUUGAGUAAUCCUCGCCAUGUUGAGACAUUGGCUGUUCGAUCCUAUCUCGAAAAUGACAAGGAAUGCAGGCGUUCUCAACUUGUCGGUUACUUUGGUAUGAGCUCAACCCCAAAAUCUGUAGACCUGCUACUCUGUUGCAAUGUGUGUGCGCAAUUAAUUCUAGUUCUAGCACAAGAUUGACCCUGUAGGAUUUGAUGUUGAAUGGUGAAGACAUUGUGAACAGUUGGUGUGUUGAAUUGUUAAUAGAAAAUUUAAUGUGAGAGUCGUCUUUUUUUUUGAGUUUCUGUGGUCGGUGUGAGUCGAAAUUACCAAGAGCAUCUGAAGAAGGGUUGGAGCAUGUAACUCGAGCUCUCGGAUGCACUUUCUCCAAGAAAAUGCUGAUAUGGCA